RNAcentral lists this ribosomal RNA (374 nucleotides) under uncultured bacterium. Its description in RNAcentral is "bacterial SSU rRNA". It matches the Rfam family "Bacterial small subunit ribosomal RNA", at positions 521 to 896 of the family's 1533-position model. The record is from RNAcentral.
UAAUACGUAGGUGGCAAGCGUUGUCCGGAUUUACUGGGCGUAAAGAGCGCGCAGGCGGUCGUUCAAGUCGCGUGUGAAAGCCCCCGGCUCAACUGGGGAGGGUCACGCGAUACUGAUCGACUCGAAGGCAGGAGAGGGUAGUGGAAUUCCCGGUGUAGUGGUGAAAUGCGUAGAUAUCGGGAGGAACACCAGUGGCGAAGGCGACUACCUGGCCUGUUUCUUGACGCUGAGGCGCGAAAGCUAGGGGAGCAAACGGGAUUAGAUACCCUGGUAGUCCACGCCCUAAACGAUGAUUACUCGACAUCAGCGAUACACUGUUUGUGUCUGAGCGAAAGCAUUAAGUAAUCCACCUGGGAAGUACGAUCGCAAGAUUG